Zonotrichia albicollis (white-throated sparrow) is the source of this 2588-nucleotide non-coding RNA. Lineage: Eukaryota; Metazoa; Chordata; Aves; Passeriformes; Passerellidae. The record is from RefSeq and is a predicted model, not a curated record.
AGCUCUCCCCCCCCCCCCCCCCCCCUCGGGAGGCCCUCCCGGCGGAGGCCGGGCUUGCGCUGGUGGUGGGUCACGCGCCUGCGAGCAGAGGAGCUCUGCUCUGCAGUGGGCCGAGGGGCGGGCUGCGGUUUUCCGUGGAGCUUCCCAAGGCCGCUGGCGCGCAGGCCGGCCAUCAGCGCUUCCUCGCUGCUGGUUACUGCUCGUUUUCGUUUAGUGGGGACUGAGUCGCUCUUUAUACACGCCUCCGAAAUAGAAAUGCCACUGGAGAUUUUCUGUAAAGCUGGUAAAAUGAACUGUUACAGAUAUUUCUGCUGUGACUGCGAACUGCACUUACUGAGUAGGUCAUGGGCCCUGACUGGAGAGAUGAAACAACAACACGGAGAAAAGAGCUGUAGGCAGAGACUUUGUAGUCAAGAGGUAUGUGGUCAUGGGCUUUUCUUUCCUUUAGGGCUUUCACUCGUACAUGUCUGGACUUUGUGCAUCUGAGCAAGACCUCAAGUAGCCCAAGAAAAAUAACUUCGUAGACUCUAAACUGAUAGCUGGCAGACUGAAGGUGAUCUGAGCUGUGGCAGAUGCCCUUAGAAGGGCUGUCCCCCAAGUAGGUGCUCACCACUGUCGGGUUGGACUAAAGCUGAGUGUAGCGGAUGAAGGCUGACUCAUGAAGAGUGUCUUUGACCCGUUCUGAACCAAACUAGUAACUAGGCUUGACCCCUUCUAAAGCAAAUUGCACUGUUAACUAGGGCUAGCAUAUUUAGUGACGUUUUGGUAUAAUUUCAAAUGUUUUCUGUUUGUUGCCCACUAGACUUUAGAAUCCUGAAGAGUUUUGAGUGUAGAUAAUAAAUUUAUGAAGAGGGCUUGGUGGUGUGAUUGCUGAGCUAAACAUUCCAUGUUUUUACCUGUGUGCAUUAUCGUAAUUUAGCCCUAAUAAGUACUAGUUAAACCUAGAAAAGAGAUUGCAUGUUUUAAAGUGCACAAAGACUUUUGGAUGAAAUGUGAGAUGUAGCUAAAGACCAGGAACUUUAAAAAUAGUUAAGCUUCUCUGCUCUAAUCAAGGAUCAACCUUGACUGAUAGCCUAAUGAUGUAUGGUCUUGAAUGAAACUCUAUCCUCUACAUAGCUGAGCCUGUUGCUUAUACAUAAUCUCUAGCACUUUCCAGGCUUCAAUUUGUGAUAAUUUUUUGUCACUGUCAUAACAAAAACAGUGGGUAUACAGAAGUAUUUUCAAUGUGUAUAUUUCACUUCCAUAAAUACGGAAAACAUUAUCAAAGUAUGCUUUCUGAUCCUUUUUUUUUUUUUUCUAACAAGCCUAAAGGCUUAUUCUUUUCUAUUGUGAGCUUUUCAUGCCCCAUUUUUAUAUCUCCAAACACAAAUGAUGUUUGACAAUAAUACUACUGGUAAAUGUUGAUAGUUGAAAGUCCUGCUAUUUGUGUCCUCUGUUAGGUUGACCUGGGUAAUAUGACGUGACUUCUCUUAUGCCAGCUAACUGUGAUAGUGGGCUUCUCCUAUAGCAGUACAGCUGUUGAUCAGUAAGAGAUCUGCGAAUGUCAGAGUUGGAGAGAUGGGGAGAACGAGUUUCAGUUUGAUCAUUAAAAGGCACAGAAUGCUUUCGUCCUUUUGGUAAGAUGCAGUUAAAAUUUUAAAACAGACGGAGCGUUACUUUUUUUGUCUGUGGCUGUUUUUCAAACUGACCAGGGUAGUUGGGGAUGGCUUUAGAAGCUCAUGGAAACAUGUUUCAUAAUGACUAUCUAAAGUUUGUUUAUCCUAAUUACUGCACUUGUUUGACUGCACCAGUGUGUGUAGUUCUCAGGUUGUCUACCUGAAUGUGGUAAGUGGGCAAGGUGAUCAGCGACCAGUGGAUGGAAGCAGUUGGUAUUGCUCAGCUCUCGAUUUCUGGUGCAACUCUUAGCCUCCAUUCUUGUUUGUGUGCUUUAGGUGGUCCACUGGUAUUACACUGAGACCUCCUCAGCAACUGGCCAACAGACUCGGUUCACCACUCCUGUGAGAAUUGCUGUUGAGGAGUAAAUUUGUGUUUGAGUGAUUAUGUAUUUUUUUAUGUAUUAUUAUGUUGAUUAACAAUGUUAAUUGUUUUAAAUAAUAGUUUUGAUACUUUGAGGUAAGCUUUUUGUGGUUUUUUGUUUGAGUUUUUUGGUAACUAAAUAUUAUACAAGUAUUUUUUGGUGAUGAUUUUAGUAAUUUUAAUUUUUGUGGUUUAACUGUAAUUUGGGUAAGAGUGUAUAAAUUGUUUUUUAAGUUUAUGGUAUGUAUUGGAUUAUUUGAUUUACAAUUUAAAUUUUGUGCGGGGUAAGGUUAGUUGUUAAGAGGUAUACUAACAACGUAUGUAGAAAAUGGAUUUUUAGGAUUGGUGAUUGAUAAACACUGUAUUUGGAUGUGUGGUUUUAGUUAGUGUUGCUUAUUAGUUUUGUUUUGUUUUGGUUGUAGAACUAUUUAUGAUGUGUUUUAAAGUCUUGUAAGUCUUGUACUUGAGUAGGGUUUUGAAACUCUGAUUUUGACAUCAAAGAAGAAAAAUGAGUAAACGAAGGAGGUAGAGAAGUUUUCUCCUUAUGGGAUAAAAAGGGUUUAACAUAGAAA